RNAcentral lists this ribosomal RNA (160 nucleotides) under Mammea americana (mammee apple). RNAcentral describes it as "5.8S ribosomal RNA". It matches the Rfam family "5.8S ribosomal RNA". From Rfam's summary of the family: 5.8S ribosomal RNA (5.8S rRNA) is a component of the large subunit of the eukaryotic ribosome. Lineage: Eukaryota; Viridiplantae; Streptophyta; Magnoliopsida; Malpighiales; Calophyllaceae. RNAcentral also lists the same sequence under 2 other names. The record is from RNAcentral.
GACUCUCGGCAACGGAUAUCUCGGCUCUCGCAUCGAUGAAGAACGUAGCGAAAUGCGAUACUUGGUGUGAAUUGCAGAAUCCCGUGAACCAUCGAGUCUUUGAACGCAAGUUGCGCCCGAAGCCUUUUGGCCGAGGGCACGUCUGCCUGGGUGUCACGCA